This 1001-nucleotide long non-coding RNA is filed under the name Scleropages formosus (Asian bonytongue). Its description in RNAcentral is "lncRNA (ENSSFOG00015029163.1)". Lineage: Eukaryota; Metazoa; Chordata; Actinopteri; Osteoglossiformes; Osteoglossidae. The record is from RNAcentral.
GGGGAGAGGGGUUAAGCCGACUUCUCCUUAGACACCUCUUCUGCUCAGCUGCUGUCUUCUUGUUUCUAGACCCACUCGAGUCGUGGGCAUCACCGACAGGGCGCGCGUCCUCACACGGUCACGUGGGAGGUCCCUUUAAGUUUGGGGAGAGCGAGGCCUCGCUGUCACAUGAUGGACACGGUGUGAUGAAACGGCAGGAACCGAGAAGCGAAGUGCGCCGGGGGCCACGAAAACACGAAGAAACUACGCAAUCGCUGUAAACAUGCUUUUCGCUGGCAGCCAGACGCUGAGCCGGGACGAGCCGAUCCGCCCCCUGCGGGCCACCCAAAGGCACCGCUCGGCCACGGCCUGACUGCACCUGCUUUCGCCGUUUUUUUCUCCGACGAGGAAGAUAAAGAGCGAAAGUGCGUCUUUAUCGCGUUUUGAACCGGGAAGCGGAAUCCAUUCCAUCCCGUCCCGCGAGGCCCGCAGCAUCCGCUCAUUCCAACCUGUGCAUUUGGAUGGAGGGAGUGACCCUGGAGAAACCCUCUGAGUCCAUCAGCAGACUCCUGUCCCAACGUUACUGCCGCCGGCCAGCCUGCCAGAAGGAGUUAAGGGAGCAGGAGUCCUUGAUCGCAAGUCUGGGUGCCAGGAAUGGCAAAAGAGCAAGGGAGCAGCUGCUCUCCGAGCACCCUGGGAGGAAGAGCUUGGAGCGUAACAUCACCAUCACCAUCACCAUUCAUGACCCUGAGUGUGUGGAAGUGGCUCCCUGGGCACUGCUUCCUGGAAGAAGAAAGGACCGGAAACUCAGCCACCCAUGUCUGCCAGACCACUUUCAGAUUCACUCUGUCGAAGCAAUCAUUCAAAAGAAGGAAGGAAACAAACUGGGGGCUUCACAACCGUCCACGGUGGGAGGAUCUUGGGUUUCAUGGCUUGCUACCACUGUGUACGGUCACUUCACAGUGUGGCUGGUGUCCAGGCCAAAACUCCACAGUGCCAUCUGUUGCUUGGUAGUAAAAUGA